CGAGCACGCGCGUGUGGCAUAUCAAUAAGCGGAGGAAAAGAAACUAACAAGGAUUCCCCUAGUAACGGCGAGUGAAGCGGGAAGAGCUCAAAUUUGAAAUCUUAAAGGGUUUCCCUUUACGAAUUGUAGUUUAAAGAAGUGUUUUCUGUUGGAGUUUCGGUAAAAGUUCUUUGGAAUAGGACAUCAUAGAGGGUGAGAAUCCCGUAUUUGGUCAUUCCUCCUAGCGUUGUGAUACACUUUCAACGAGUCGGAUUGUUUGGGAAUGCAGUCCAAAAUGGGUGGUAAAUUUCAUCUAAAGCUAAAUAUUGGCGAGAGACCGAUAGCGAACAAGUACCGUGAGGGAAAGAUGAAAAGAACUUUGAAAAGAGAGUUAGACAGUACGUGAAAUUGUCAAAAGGGAAGCGUUUGACACCAGUGUUGUUUAGUUGAAAAUCAAUUAAAUAUUUUUCCGAUUUUAAGUAGUAUUGACCUUAUCAGCUUGCUGCUUUUUUCUCGGAAAUUAUUUAAUGCACUUUUCAGUUAACAAGUCAACAUCAAUUUCUUUUGUUGUAAAAAGGUAAGAGGAAGGUGGCUUGCGCUUCGGCUCAAGUGUUUAUAGCCUUUUACCCCUGCAAUCGGAGAGAUUGAGGUCUACAGCGUAGAUCCUUCGGGGUUAGAUACAUUUGUGCUAAGCUAUAGCCUUGUAUAGACAACUUGUUGACUAUGCUCAGUCAUGUAGCUUACUCGCUUAUGCUAUUUUACCUACGCUUAGGAUGUUGAUGUGAUACUGCGAGCA
RNAcentral lists this ribosomal RNA (775 nucleotides) under uncultured Neocallimastigales. RNAcentral describes it as "partial large subunit ribosomal RNA". It matches the Rfam family "Eukaryotic large subunit ribosomal RNA", at positions 19 to 646 of the family's 3401-position model. Lineage: Eukaryota; Fungi; Neocallimastigomycota; Neocallimastigomycetes; Neocallimastigales. The record is from RNAcentral.